Long non-coding RNA from Bacillus rossius redtenbacheri, 869 nucleotides. RefSeq lists it as uncharacterized. NCBI's taxonomy places the organism in Eukaryota, Metazoa, Arthropoda, Insecta, Phasmatodea, Bacillidae. The record is from RefSeq and is a predicted model, not a curated record. The transcript is spliced from 2 exons.
ACUCUUGCUCUGCACUCUGGAACGACCGCGUCGGUAGUCCGCUGAUCGCGUUUCGGGCUCCGUCAAGUUAAAUCAAAGCUGACGCCGAGCAACAGUACUAAGAUGUAGUCCGAUCAGAAAAGGGAUGUUUCCCUAUUUACCUUUUGGUUUUUUAUUUUAGUCAUCUCAGUAUAGCCUCUACGUAGUAAUCCUAGUUUCUCCGCGAACCAAAUUUCUUGUCUGGUGCCGCAUAUAUUUUUUUCUUUUAACCGCGACAUCGGCCGCGCAUCGCCCUCCAUCUUCCGACCAGGCAACAUGGCUGUGCCUAACAACAACUACUACCCUGUUUUGACAGGGUCCUAGUCCCCCCCCCCCCCCCCCGAAGAGAAAGAAACCAUCAUGGGGAACUAAGGAAGCCCGGCGACCUCCAAUUUUGAAUUGGUGGUUUCGCCAGUGGAAGCUCUCACCCCCGGACUUUUCGCCAUCAGCUACGAACCGCCAGGAAAUCUUCAGUUCGUGAGAGCGAGUGCCAGUGAAAGUUUUAUUUUGUAAAUUUCCAAAUGUAAUUUCAGAAAUCAGAUUCGAACCAGUUUAACAGCUUUGGUCUCUUCAGCCAUCUCGAAAUUGUAUAUGUGAAAUUUUUAUAAUUAACCAAUGAUAAGCUAAUAUGGUGAUUACAGAUUAUUGUAAAAUGUUAAAACUUUACGGUUUCUUUAAGAAUGAUGUGUUGGAAAAAUAAUUUUCUAUUCGCGGCCCGGGUCGGCAAAUGAUUAGGUAGACUGAGCUCUCUUUAAUAAUGGUUAAAUGAUAGAAGUGUUUUCUCUUUAUAGCUUGUAACAGAAAAUCUUGAAAACAAACUUUGACCUUAAAUAAAAGGAUGCCUAUAAACG